CAUAUCCUUAAAUGGUUCUUGACAGACCCAAGGGUCCAACCAAAAUCGGAUACUAUUCCGGACUUAUAUUCAAUCCCUUUACGUGUUUUGAUUAUAGAGAAAAUGUGUCUUCAAAGGAAAACGCGUGACAGAUAAAGUGCGUGGUUCAAUUUAUCAAGCAACGUACACUAAAGAAGAUCAAAAGAUAGUGAGAUUUAACUAG
Long non-coding RNA from Erigeron canadensis, 202 nucleotides. RefSeq lists it as uncharacterized. NCBI's taxonomy places the organism in Eukaryota, Viridiplantae, Streptophyta, Magnoliopsida, Asterales, Asteraceae. The transcript is spliced from 2 exons. The record is from RefSeq and is a predicted model, not a curated record.